UGAUUCUUGAUGCAUACGUGGACGGUUCAGAUGCGAGUUCUUCCUAACAUCCAAGGGCCGUAGAACUCAUUCACACUUCUUUUCUGAUUUUUGCUUCUACGAUUUGCAUAAACAGGAAUCCUUUUUUUUAACCUUUGAAAUUGUAAACAUAAACGCAAAUUCGAUCCUUUUAACGCUUACACGCAACAAUUCAUUGCUUUCCUCAUCCCUGAUAGAAUCCCUAAAGAGUUAAGUAGCUAAUAAGGCAAAGACACAGAGAGAGAAAAUGCCAGGCGAUAGGAAGAUAGGCGUGGCUAUGGACUUCUCGCAGAGCAGCAAGCAAGCUCUGAAAUGGGCCAUCGAUAACUUGGCAGACAAAGGGGACGCUCUUUAUAUCAUCCAUGUCAAUCCCAGCUCUCUUGACAAGUCUCGUAAUCAACUCUGGGCCAAGUCU
RNAcentral lists this unclassified non-coding RNA (433 nucleotides) under Hevea brasiliensis (rubber tree). Lineage: Eukaryota; Viridiplantae; Streptophyta; Magnoliopsida; Malpighiales; Euphorbiaceae. The record is from RNAcentral.